ACGUACACUCCUACGGGAGGCAGCAGUGGGGAAUAUUGGACAAUGGGCGCAAGCCUGAUCCAGCCAUGCCGCGUGAGUGAUGAAGGCCCUAGGGUUGUAAAGCUCUUUCACCGGUGAAGAUAAUGACGGUAACCGGAGAAGAAGCCCCGGCUAACUUCGUGCCAGCAGCCGCGGUAAUACGAAGGGAGCUAGCGUUGUUCGGAUUUACUGGGCGUAAAGCGCACGUAGGCGGACUAUUAAGUCAGGGGUGAAAUCCCGGGGCUCAACCCCGGAACUGCCUUUGAUACUGGUAGUCUUGAGUUCGAGAGAGGUGAGUGGAAUUCCGAGUGUAGAGGUGAAAUUCGUAGAUAUUCGGAGGAACACCAGUGGCGAAGGCGGCUCACUGGCUCGAUACUGACGCUGAGGUGCGAAAGCGUGGGGAGCAAACAGGAGUAGAAACCCGAGUAGUCCCAUGA
RNAcentral lists this ribosomal RNA (455 nucleotides) under uncultured organism. RNAcentral describes it as "partial 16S ribosomal RNA". It matches the Rfam family "Bacterial small subunit ribosomal RNA", at positions 329 to 800 of the family's 1533-position model. The record is from RNAcentral.